UACAGAGGGUGCUAGCGUUAAUCGGAUUUACUGGGCGUAAAGCGUGCGUAGGCGGUUUAAUAAGUCGAUUGUGAAAGCCCCGGGCUCAACCUGGGAAUUGCGGUCGAUACUGUCAGACUCGAAAACGGUAGAGGGAGGCGGAACUCCAGGUGUAGCGGUGAAAUGCGUAGAUAUCUGGAAGAACACCGAUGGCGAAGGCAACCUCCUGGGCCUGUUUUGACGCUGAGGCACGAAAGCGUGGGUAGCAAAC
RNAcentral lists this ribosomal RNA (250 nucleotides) under uncultured Gammaproteobacteria bacterium. RNAcentral describes it as "partial 16S ribosomal RNA". It matches the Rfam family "Bacterial small subunit ribosomal RNA", at positions 524 to 773 of the family's 1533-position model. Lineage: Bacteria; Pseudomonadati; Pseudomonadota; Gammaproteobacteria. The record is from RNAcentral.